RNAcentral lists this ribosomal RNA (321 nucleotides) under uncultured eukaryote. RNAcentral's name for it is "partial 18S ribosomal RNA". It matches the Rfam family "Eukaryotic small subunit ribosomal RNA", at positions 1470 to 1796 of the family's 1831-position model. The record is from RNAcentral.
CCCUUAGAUGUUCUGGGCCGCACGCGCGCUACACUGACGAAUGCAACGAGCUUAUAACCUUGGCCGAUAGGUCUGGGUAAUCUUUGAACGCUGUUCGUGAUUGGGAUAGACCUUUGCAAUUAUGGGUCAUCAACGAGGAAUUCCUAGUAAACGCAAGUCAUCAGCUUGCAUUGAUUACGUCCCUGCCCUUUGUACACACCGCCCGUCGCACCUACCGAUUGAAUGGUCCGGUGAAAUCUCGGGACGGCGGCUUGGUCGCUUGCGUCCGACUGCUGAAACUUGAUUAAACCAUAUCAUUUAGAGGAAGGUGAAGUCGUANCA